RNAcentral lists this small RNA (105 nucleotides) under Salmonella enterica. RNAcentral describes it as "partial RtT sRNA". It matches the Rfam family "RtT RNA", at positions 1 to 103 of the family's 130-position model. From Rfam's summary of the family: This family represents a bacterial cis-regulatory element known as RtT RNA. The exact function of RtT is unknown although it is thought that it may be involved in changing the cellular response in relation to amino acid starvation. The record is from RNAcentral. RNAcentral also lists the same sequence under 1 other name. Lineage: Bacteria; Pseudomonadati; Pseudomonadota; Gammaproteobacteria; Enterobacterales; Enterobacteriaceae.
AUAUCUCUCUGUACGGGAAGGAUGAGAAGCUUCGACUAAGGUUCGAUUCGAGCGUCAGCGAGAAAGCGUUGCCGCAGGCAACGACCCGAAGGGCGAAGCGCGCAG